This 127-nucleotide small RNA is filed under the name Marmota monax (woodchuck). The record is from RNAcentral. Lineage: Eukaryota; Metazoa; Chordata; Mammalia; Rodentia; Sciuridae.
GCUGGGCUCAGUGGCUCACGCCUGUAAUCCCAGCAGCUCCGGAGGCUGAGGCAGGAGGAUCGCGAGUUCAAAGCCAGCCUCAGCAACUUAGCAAGACCCUAAGCAACUCAGUGAGACCUUGUCUCUA